AAAAAAACAAACCCUGGAUUUUCGUACCAACAUUUGACUGUCCGUCUUAUAUGAAAGUUUUUUAUAAUUAGUAUUUUUAUUGUUGUUAGAUGAUAAAACAUGAUUAAUACUUUAUGCGUGACUUACCUUUUUAUUUUUUUUUAUAUUUUUUUCAAAUAAGACGAACGGUCAAACGUGGUACACGGAAACCAGGGUUUGUCUUUUU
This is a microRNA precursor of Oryza sativa Japonica Group (Japanese rice), 205 nucleotides long. It matches the Rfam family "MIR812 microRNA precursor family". The record is from Rfam. Lineage: Eukaryota; Viridiplantae; Streptophyta; Magnoliopsida; Poales; Poaceae.